CCUACGGGGGGCUGCAGUCGAGAAUCAUUCACAAUGGGGGAAACCCUGAUGGUGCGACGCCGCGUGGGGGAAUGAAGGUCUUCGGAUUGUAAACCUCUGUCAUGUGGGAGCAAAUUAAAAAGAUAGUACCACAAGAGGAAGAGACGGCUAACUCUGUGCCAGCAGCCGCGGUAAUACAGAGGUCUCAAGCGUUGUUCGGAUUCACUGGGCGUAAAGCGUGCGUAGGCUGUUUCGUAAGUCGUGUGUGAAAGGCGGGGGCUCAACCCGCGGACUGCACAUGAUACUGGGAGACUAGAGUAAUGGAGGGGGAGCCGGAAUUCGUGGUGUAGCAGUGAAAUGCGUAGAUAUCGAGAAGAACACUCGUGGCGAAGGCGGGUUCCUGGACAUUAACUGACGCUGAGGCACGAAGGCCAGGGGAGCGAAAGGGAUUAGAUACCCGGGUAGUC
RNAcentral lists this ribosomal RNA (446 nucleotides) under uncultured bacterium. RNAcentral describes it as "partial 16S ribosomal RNA". It matches the Rfam family "Bacterial small subunit ribosomal RNA", at positions 338 to 795 of the family's 1533-position model. The record is from RNAcentral.